RNAcentral lists this unclassified non-coding RNA (324 nucleotides) under soil metagenome. RNAcentral describes it as "partial contains 5.8S ribosomal RNA, internal transcribed spacer 2, and large subunit ribosomal RNA". The stretch from base 1 to 120 matches the Rfam family "5.8S ribosomal RNA", at positions 35 to 154 of the family's 154-position model. The record is from RNAcentral.
GAUGAAGAACGCAGCAAAAUGCGAUAAGUAAUGCGAAUUGCAGAAUUCAGUGAGUCAUCGAAUCUUUGAACGCACAUUGCGCCCUGUGGUAUUCCGCAGGGCAUGCCUGUUCGAGCGUCAUUUCAACCCUCAAGCCCCGCUUGGUGUUGGGCCCCGCCCGCUGUGGCCGGCCCUAAAGACAGUGGCGGCGCCGCCUGGCCCUCAGCGUAGUACAUCUCUCGCUCCAGGGUCCGGUGGCCGCCUGCCAGAACCCCCCAACACUGUGGUUGACCUCGGAUCAGGUAGGGAUACCCGCUGAACUUAAGCAUAUCAAUAAGCGGAGGA